CGAAAGUUAGCUCGCUGGUAGAGCGAUCGGUGUAUCGCCGAUUUGUAGUAGGUUCGAUUCCUACACUUUCCAACA
Molecule: transfer RNA, 75 nt
Filed under: Phormidium nigroviride PCC 7112
Lineage: Bacteria; Bacillati; Cyanobacteriota; Cyanophyceae; Oscillatoriales; Oscillatoriaceae
Description: Oscillatoria nigro-viridis PCC 7112 tRNA-Tyr
Rfam family: tRNA
About the family: Transfer RNA (tRNA) molecules are approximately 80 nucleotides in length. Their secondary structure includes four short double-helical elements and three loops (D, anti-codon, and T loops).
Source: RNAcentral